This 120-nucleotide ribosomal RNA is filed under the name Castor canadensis (American beaver). The record is from RNAcentral. Lineage: Eukaryota; Metazoa; Chordata; Mammalia; Rodentia; Castoridae.
GUCUUUGGCCAUAACACCCUAAAUGUGCCCAAUCCCAUCUUGUCUCAGAAGCCAAGUAGGGUUGGAUCUGGUUAGUACUUGGAUGGGAGACAGAUCUUCAAAAGAGACUGCUCAGAGACA